RNAcentral lists this ribosomal RNA (512 nucleotides) under Sanguinoderma rude. RNAcentral describes it as "SSU rRNA". It matches the Rfam family "Bacterial small subunit ribosomal RNA", at positions 406 to 948 of the family's 1533-position model. The record is from RNAcentral. Lineage: Eukaryota; Fungi; Basidiomycota; Agaricomycetes; Polyporales; Polyporaceae. RNAcentral also lists the same sequence under 1 other name.
UCAUAGAAUUUCUUUAAAUUCAUGAUGUCGUAAGGGAAAAUAAUGAUAUUACCUUACUAUGAGUGUCGUCCAAAACUGGUGCCAGAAGACUCGGUAAUACCAGAGACGCAAACGUUAAUCAUCAUAAACAGGCGUAAAGGGUUUGUAGGCAGCUUUCAUAAGAUUAUUUCUUACACAAAUAAAUAAGUGGUCUGAUUGAAAGCUAGAAUCAAAAAGAGGUUAUAGUGUAUAACGCCUAGAGGAGGGCUGAUAUCCUUAGAUCCUAGGCAGAAUACUUAGGGCGAAGGCCACUCUCCACUAAUGAUUGACGCUGAGAAACGAAGGUAAGGGUAGGAAAUAGGAUUAGAUACCCCGGUACUCCUUUCUGUAAACGAUGAAUGGUAGUCAUUAGUAAAAUUAAAAUUAGAGACGAAGUUAACACAAUAACCAUUCCGCCUUGUGAGUACUACUGCAAAGUAGAAAACAAAAAAAUUAGUCGGUCUCGAAGCAAACGGAGUGAAGCAUGUUAUUUA